CAGUGGGUAGCCCUGUUAGACUCUUUUCUUUCUGGUUAUAGGAUUGAAAUGAACAUUUGCCAGUGUUGAUAAGAUUGCUACCAAGACACAGAGACUCUUAGGAUGAAGAGGAACUUCUUAAGGAGGAGGCAAAGACCCGGCCCAGUAAGUUUACCAUCUCUUCCCCCUGCUUUCCAUCUACACCUCUGGGGCUACUAUGGAGAUCAUUCACUUGCACAGGAAGUUUUCCACACUGCUGAAUGGAGCCUUCUCUGGAUGGCCCUUGUUCAUGGGUUCAUGCUGUCCUUGGAGGAAAUAUCCUACGUUUUAUCCCUCAGGGAAGCCCCAGCUCCUCUGAUCCCCAAGAUUGCAGAUCAUUCUCCUCUAAUGAGUUGGAAUAGAAAGCUGCAACACAAACAGGAACCUGGGUCAUUCCUCACUGCAUCAUCUCUAUUUAAGGAUGUAAACCUAAACCUCAGAUUCUGCUAUGAUCCUCCACCAGGACCUCCACAGGAGCUAGAAGAACACAGAAUGGACUGAGUACAUUGGAGUGUGUUAAGGAUGACUCAAGGAACUUUCUUGGUAUGGAGUAAUGGUUGAUUAACAACAGAGACUGAGUUUCUGCUGGAAUGUGAUCCUUACUGGGUGAAGGGAGGAAAUAGAGUGGAAUGGGAAUGAACAGAGCCCUGGCUUUGUAGUGUACUAUGACUAAUCAAUCCAAAAUAGUUCACUUACAAAUAGGUUCAUGCUGAAAUGCACUAUAUAAUUAAAUGUUGAUGUCUUGUCAUUCUUCCUAUCUAUUCUGAAAGCCAUGUAACUCCUUACUUAUCUCUAAAUUUUGUGAAAAU
Molecule: long non-coding RNA, 827 nt
Filed under: Ictidomys tridecemlineatus (thirteen-lined ground squirrel)
Lineage: Eukaryota; Metazoa; Chordata; Mammalia; Rodentia; Sciuridae
Description: lncRNA (ENSSTOG00000031341.1)
Source: RNAcentral